This 2989-nucleotide long non-coding RNA is filed under the name Triticum aestivum (bread wheat). RNAcentral's name for it is "long non-coding RNA (TAES_LNC018524)". The record is from RNAcentral. Lineage: Eukaryota; Viridiplantae; Streptophyta; Magnoliopsida; Poales; Poaceae.
AGGGCUCAGUUUUGCCUUUCAUCUUCAAGCCCAACACUCGCAUCUCUUGCUGCAUAAUCUACCCAUCACGAUGUAAAAGAACUGCCCUGGUUAUCAUUCAUCAGAAUGACCGUCCAAGUAGCAGAACAUCCAACAUUAGCGAUGAAUUGAACAGGCUGCAAGAGAGGUAAGGGUGUGCUCUAAUUUAGUACCCAUAGGCCACAGCUCUUAAUUGCUCAAGACAGGCUUAUUUCAGCCACGGUCAUCAUCAUUGCCCCUGGUAAGGACUCCAUCUCUUCAUCACACAGUAGCAUGCAUACAUCAUCCAUCCAUCCAUCCAUCAGGCUGGUCGUAGUGGUAAGUAACUUGUCGCAUCCAUGAUAUCCAUUACAGGCAUGCACACAUCCAUCCAUCCAUCCUCUUUAAUUACUUGUCACAUGAUCUUUUUUGCCUAUGUGGCAUGCAUGUUACUACUCCCUCCGUUCCAUAAUUACUGUUGUGGUUUUAGUUCAAAUAGUUCAAUUUGAACUAAAACCUAAGUUACUCCCACUAUGACUAGUCUCAGUCUCAGGAGCUGCUCGUACCUGGCCUCGACCGCCCAGUGUGGACGACGCAUCAGAUAAUGCCUUACGGUUCCCAGCCCACACCACAACCAAAUCCAAGGCAAUGAAAUGGCAGUGGCUGGCAGCACCGUAGAGACGGGGAACUGACGUGGCAGCCACCCGGACAAUGGGGUAGCAAGUCGGCAAUGAGAGCUUUGCUGAUUUGUUUAGGGCUUGAGAGAGAGAGAGAGAGAGAGAGAGAAAGGUGAGGAGGAUUCAUACCGAAUCCAAAACAAAAUGCAACUGAACUGAGCAAAAGAGGGCUCAGUUUUGCAUUUCAUCUUCAAACCAACACUCACACCUCUUGCUGCAUAAUCUAUCCAUCGCAGUGUAAGAGAACUGCCCUGGUUAUCACUCAUCAGAACGACCAUCCAAGGCACAGAACAUCCAACAUCCGCGAUGAAUUGGACAGGCUGCAAGAGAGGCAAGGGUGGGCUAAAGAGUAACUCCAACGCAGAUACCAAUUUUCUUGCACUGUUUAGUCCCACCUCGCCAAGGCUGUCUUGAUUGCUCAAGACAUGAUUAUUUCAGCCACAGUCAUCAUCAUCGGCAUCGCCCCUAGCAACAUAACCAUGAAUCCAUACAUAUAUGCAUGCAUACAUCCAUCUAUCCAUCCAUCCUGCUCAGGAGUUGCUCAUACCUGGCCUCGACCGACCAAAACUCCGGCUCCGACGACGCAUCAGAAGACACCGUACGGUUCCCAGCCGACGGGCACAACCAAAUCCAAGGCAAUGGGACGGCGGUGGCAGGCAGCACCGUAGCGGUGGGGAACUGAACUGACGCGGCGUACAUCCGGACGAUAGGUCAGUCAGCGAUCCGGCAACAAGAGCUCGCCUGAUUUGUUUUAAAAAUAUACUCCCUCCGUUCGGAUCAAGUGUCGUGGUUUUAGUUCACGACACAUGAAUGCAUCCAUUCAUCCAUCCUUCUCAGGAGCUGCUCAUACCUGGCCUCGACCGACCAAACCUCCCGCACGGACGACGCAUCAGACGUCAUCCUACGGCCCCCAGCCCACGCCACAACCGAAUCCAAGCCAAUGGAAUGGCGGUGGCUGGCCGCACCGUAGCAGCGCUGGGUCAGCGAUCCGGCAACGAGAGCUUGGCUGAUUCGGUUUAGGAUUUACUGGUGUGAACUCUAAGCGCGCGCGCGCACAGAGUGAGCGAGUGUGUGAGAGUCUGAGAGAGAGAGAGAGAGAGAUGGGGGGACCGUACCGGAUCCAAAGCAAAACGCAGCCAAGCUGCGAGAAAUCCAUCGACGGCGGCUCAGAUCCCGCGCCGGCCCGACCAAGCCCUCGACCGCAGCGCGCCAUGGGCCCCGCCGCUCGGUCCCCAGCCCGCACGGCCGCAGACGCCUCCCGCAUCCAUCCAUCCUCUUUAAUUACUUGCCAGUCAUUUUUGCCUAUGUGUCAUGAAUGUUACUACUCCCUCUGUUCCAUAAUUCAGUUACUCCCACUAUGACUAGUCUCAGUCUCAGGAGCUGCCCAUACCUGGCCUCGACCGACCAAACAUCCUGGUGUGGACGACUCAUCAGACAACGCCUUACGGGACCCAGCCCACGCCACAACCAAAUCCAAGGCAAUGGAAUGGCAGUGGCUGGCAGCACCGUAGAGACAGGGAACUGACGUGGCAACCACCGGGACGAUGGGUCAGCGAGUCGGCAAUGAGAGCUUGACUGAUUUGUUUUAGGGGUUGAGAGAGAGAGAGGUGAGGAGGAUUCAUACCGAAUCCAAGACAAAAUGCAACUGAACCGAGCAUAUGUAGCGUAGCAAAACAAGGCUCAGUUUUGCAUUUCAUCUUCAAACCCAACACUCACAUCUCUUGCUGCAUAAUCCACCCAUUGCCAUGUAAGAGAACUGCCCUGGUUAUCACUCAUCAGAAUGACCAUCCAAGGCAAAGAACAUCCAACAUUGGCAAUGAAUUUGACAGGCUGCAAGAGAGGCAAGGGUGGGCUCUAAGGCCAACUCCUUUUUUCUGGCACUGUUUAGUCCCACCUCGCCGAGCUGUCUUGAUUGCUCAAGACAUGAUUAUUUCAACCAGUCAUCAUCAUCGGCAUCGCCCCUCCUUUUUUUCCAAAAAGGAGGUUGAACCCCCGAGCAACAUGACCAUGAUAUCCAUACAUAUAUGCAUGCAUACAUCCAUCUAUCCAUCCAUCCUGCUCAGGAGUUGCUCAUACCUGGCCUAGACCGACCAAAACUCCGGCUCCAACGACGCAUCAGACAACACCGUAAGGUUCCCAGCCCAUACGCACAACCGAAUCCAAGGCAAUUGGACGGCGGUGGUAGCGGUGGGGAACUGACGCGGCGGACAUCCGGAAAAUAGGUCAGCAAUCCGGCAACGAGAGCUCGCCUGAUUUGUUUUAAAAAUAUAAUCCGGCAACGACACAUGAAUGCAUCCAUUCAUCCAUCCUUGUCA